RNAcentral lists this ribosomal RNA (230 nucleotides) under uncultured bacterium. RNAcentral's name for it is "partial 16S ribosomal RNA". It matches the Rfam family "Bacterial small subunit ribosomal RNA", at positions 558 to 791 of the family's 1533-position model. The record is from RNAcentral.
GCGUAAGGCGCAGGCGGUUAUACAAGACAGGCGUGAAAUCCCCGGGCUUAACCUGGGAAUGGCGCCUGUGACUGUAUAGCUAGAGUGUGUCAGAGGGGGGUAGAAUUCCACGUGUAGCAGUGAAAUGCGUAGAUAUGUGGAGGAAUACCAAUGGCGAAGGCAGCCCCCUGGGAUAACACUGACGCUCAUGCACGAAAGCGUGGGGAGCAAACAGGAUUAGAUACCCUAGU